This 844-nucleotide long non-coding RNA is filed under the name Astyanax mexicanus (Mexican tetra). RNAcentral describes it as "lncRNA (ENSAMXG00005000672.1)". The record is from RNAcentral. Lineage: Eukaryota; Metazoa; Chordata; Actinopteri; Characiformes; Acestrorhamphidae.
GUAAGAUCGUAAUGAACCUCGUGAUGCAUCCUUGCCCAGCGUAUAAGAUAGGGCCCAGUGAGUUGAGCCAGCUCAAAAACAUUACCAAAUGUGCUGCACCUAAAAUAUUUAUAAGGUAGAUCAUUUGAAUUCUCUACAGUUUGUUGAUUUUUUAUUUCCAUCAGUUUUUUUUUUUUAUUCGUCCUAUUCUCUGACUCCUGGCCGUGGCUGUAUGUGGUGAUAAUUGGAUGUGAACUUGCAAUCUCUUGACAGGGCUACAAAAAGCACUUUGUGCCCAUGCUCCAUCACAAUCGUUCUUCCACUCCGAGUGCAUCACAGCAAGUGGACUGUUCUCCAGGUGUUGUCAUGCCUUUCCUCCUGAGCUUAGUGCAGGUUAUCCUGCUGUCAGUGCUUUUCAUCCAGUACACGGCCGCGUUUCCAGCUGUGGGCAGGGAUGUGGAGGAUGAUGACAGCCUUAUAAGCAUGGACAGUCACUCCCACAGAAGAUGUUUGUUUCCAAGAGACAGCCUAGAUGAAGAGGGCCUUGCUGUAGAAGACAGAGGGAACAGGAGGUCUGAGCUGCAGAUCAGACAGCUGGGUGACCUGGAGUUCACCAACCGGUACGCUGAGCUGCUAAAAUCUAAAGCCAAGCUCUCCCACCUCUGUUCAUUCCUCCGCCGCAUGCAGAACAGCAAAAAGAGUGGCCUCACUGCAGACACAGAGCGAGUGAACACACUGAUGAAGCAAUAUAUGUGUGCCAACGUGUACCAGUGACACACCCAACCCAUCUGUAUCCAGCAAUACAAUGCAUCAUGUGAAGACUGAACACAAUAAAACAAUUAUUCUGGAAGACCGAUGAAGAUUU